CGUAGGGUGCAGGCGUUAAUCGGAAUUACUGGGCGUAAAGCGUGCGCAGGCGGUCUGCUAAGAGAGGUGUGAAAUCCCCGGGCUUAACCUGGGAACUGCGCUUCUAACUGGCAGGCUUGAGUGGGGCAGAGGGGGUGGAAUUCCACGUGUAGCAGUGAAAUGCGUAGAGAUGUGGAGGAACACCGAUGGCGAAGGCAGCCCCCUGGGCUAACACUGACGCUCAUGCACGAAAGCGUGGGGAGCAAACAGGAUUAGAUACCCUGGUAGUCCACGCCCUAAACUAUGUCAACUGGUUGUCGGGGAAGCAAUUCCUUGGUAACGAAGCUAACGCGUGAAGUUGACCGCCUGGGGAGUACGGCCGCAAGGUUA
Molecule: ribosomal RNA, 369 nt
Filed under: uncultured organism
Description: bacterial SSU rRNA
Rfam family: Bacterial small subunit ribosomal RNA
Source: RNAcentral